Molecule: transfer RNA, 73 nt
Filed under: Enterobacteriaceae endosymbiont of Macroplea appendiculata
Lineage: Bacteria; Pseudomonadati; Pseudomonadota; Gammaproteobacteria; Enterobacterales; Enterobacteriaceae
Also listed under: 1 other name
Rfam family: tRNA
About the family: Transfer RNA (tRNA) molecules are approximately 80 nucleotides in length.
Source: Rfam by way of RNAcentral
GCACCUGUAACUCAGUGGAUAGAGUAUUCGGCUACGAACCGAACGGACGGAGGUUCGAAUCCUCCCAGGUGUA